UACGGAGGGUGCAAGCGUUAAUCGGAAUUACUGGGCGUAAAGCGCGCGUAGGUGGUUUGAUAAGCGAGAUGUGAAAGCCCCGGGCUCAACCUGGGAAUGGCAUUUCGAACUGUCAGGCUAGAGUAUGGUAGAGGGUAGUGGAAUUUCCUGUGUAUCGUUGAAAUGCGUAGAUAUAGGAAGGAACACCAGUGGCGAAGGCGGCUACCCGGACCAAUACUGACGCUGAGGUGCGAAAGCGUGGGGAGCAAACAGG
This 253-nucleotide unclassified non-coding RNA is filed under the name uncultured Alteromonadales bacterium. RNAcentral's name for it is "contains 16S-23S intergenic spacer region". It matches the Rfam family "Bacterial small subunit ribosomal RNA", at positions 524 to 776 of the family's 1533-position model. The record is from RNAcentral. Lineage: Bacteria; Pseudomonadati; Pseudomonadota; Gammaproteobacteria; Alteromonadales.